CCAGACUCCUACGGGAGGCAGCAGUGAGGAAUAUUGGUCAAUGGGCGCAAGCCUGAACCAGCCAAGUCGCGUGAGGGAAGACGGCCCUACGGGUUGUAAACCUCUUUUGCCGGGGAGCAAGCCUGAGCACGUGUGCCCAGGCGGAGAGUACCCGGAGAAAAAGCAUCGGCUAACUCCGUGCCAGCAGCCGCGGUAAUACGGAGGAUGCGAGCGUUAUCCGGAUUUAUUGGGUUUAAAGGGUGCGCAGGCGGGCUGUUAAGCCGGCGGUAAAAAUUCAGGGCUCAACCCUGUCGAGCCGUCGGAACUGGCAGUCUUGAGUGGGCGAGAAGUAUGCGGAAUGCGUGGUGUAGCGGUGAAAUGCAUAGAUAUCACGCAGAACGCCGAUUGCGAAGGCAGCAUACCGGCGCCCAACUGACGCUGAGGCACGAAAGCGUGGGGAUCGAACAGGAUUAGAUACCCUAGUA
This 464-nucleotide ribosomal RNA is filed under the name uncultured bacterium. RNAcentral's name for it is "bacterial SSU rRNA". It matches the Rfam family "Bacterial small subunit ribosomal RNA", at positions 331 to 792 of the family's 1533-position model. The record is from RNAcentral.